GCACCCUUGGUGUAUGGAAACACACUUCUUCGAAUUCGAUGUGGCCACAGGUCCAAAUGGUCAAGAUGAGUCCGGGGUUCGAAUCCCCGAGGGUGCG
This is a non-coding RNA of Mycena olivaceomarginata, 97 nucleotides long. NCBI's taxonomy places the organism in Eukaryota, Fungi, Basidiomycota, Agaricomycetes, Agaricales, Mycenaceae. The record is from the annotation of a GenBank genome assembly.